RNAcentral lists this ribosomal RNA (324 nucleotides) under uncultured bacterium. Its description in RNAcentral is "bacterial SSU rRNA". It matches the Rfam family "Bacterial small subunit ribosomal RNA", at positions 28 to 353 of the family's 1533-position model. The record is from RNAcentral.
GACGAACGCUGGCGGCGUGCUUAACACAUGCAAGUCGAGCGGUAAGGCCCUUUCGGGGGUACACGAGCGGCGAACGGGUGAGUAACACGUGGGUGACCUGCCUUUAGCUCUGGGAUAAGCCUGGGAAACUGGGUCUAAUACCGGAUACGACUCCGCGGUGCAUGCUGUGGGGUGGAAAGCCUUGUGCGGCUGGAGAUGGGCCCGCGGCCUAUCAGCUUGUUGGUGGGGUGAUGGCCUACCAAGGCGACGACGGGUAGCCGGCCUGAGAGGGCGACCGGCCACACUGGGACUGAGACACGGCCCAGACUCCUACGGGAGGCAGCA